AANACAGGGGGAAACACCUGNUAAUAACNGNAGGCCGGUGACAAUNGAANGGGGGACCAACUAAAAAUUUAUCGGGAGUGGGAGGGCUCCCGGGCCAAUCAGCCUGAUGGGGAGGUAACGGCUCACCAAGGNGUNGACGGGUAGNUGGUAUGAGAGGAUGAUCAGCCACACUGGGACUGAGACACGGCCCAGACUCCUACGGGAGGCAGCAGUGGGGAAUCUUGCACAAUGGGCGCAAGCCUGAUGCAGCAACGCCGCUUGCGGGAAGAAGGCCCUAGGGUUGUAAACCGCUUUCAGCAGGGAAGAAAAUGACGGUACCUGUAGUAGAAGGUGCGGCCAAGUUACGUGCCAGCAGCCGCGGUGACACGUAGGCACCAAGCGUUGUCCGGAUUUAUUGGGCGUACAAGAGCUCGUAGGCGGUUCGGUAAGUCGGGUGUGACAAUCUCUAGGGCUCAACCCAGAGACGCCACCCGAUACUGCUGUGACUAGUAGUGCGGUAGGGGAGCGGGGACUUCCGUGGUGUAGCGGUGAAAUGACGCAGAUAUCAGGAGGAACACCAGUGGCUGAAGGCGCCGCUCUGGGUCCGUGACUGACGACUGAGGAGCGUAAGUCGUGGGUAGCAAACAGGAUUAGAUACCCUGGUAGUC
This 647-nucleotide ribosomal RNA is filed under the name uncultured bacterium. Its description in RNAcentral is "bacterial SSU rRNA". It matches the Rfam family "Bacterial small subunit ribosomal RNA", at positions 143 to 795 of the family's 1533-position model. The record is from RNAcentral.